Long non-coding RNA from Camelus dromedarius (Arabian camel), 1161 nucleotides. RefSeq lists it as uncharacterized. NCBI's taxonomy places the organism in Eukaryota, Metazoa, Chordata, Mammalia, Artiodactyla, Camelidae. The transcript is spliced from 4 exons. The record is from RefSeq and is a predicted model, not a curated record.
UUUACCCUUCAUUUUUCUCAAAAAUUAAAAAAAAAGUUUUAUUGGAUAAUUAGACUCAGUUCAAAAGCAAUCUUUCUUCUGUCUCUUUUUAAAUGUGGAAAAGUAAUAUUAAUCAGUAUCACUACCAUUUAUUGAGUGGUUAGUGUAACUGGCAUUGAGUUUGCAUGUGUUAGUUGUUACAUUUAAUCCCUAGCACAGUUCAAGAGAGAGGCACGAUGGUUAUCUCCAUCCCACAGAUGAAGAAGGAGGAAUAGGAGCGUUUGCCCAAAAUCACACCCACCACCAAGACCCGGGCGUCUGUCUCUCGACCAGAGAACAGCACCUCGUUCCUAAUCUCCAGGUGUCUUUGACUCCCACCUUCAAAAGCAAGGUUACACCUCAUUUUUCUCAAAAAUUUAAAAAAAUGUUUUAUUGGAGAAUUUGACUCAGUACAAAAGCAAUCUUUCUUCUGUCUCUUUAAAUGUGAGUGCACAGCACUGAACACUCGAACACGGCCCCUUCUCCACACCAAGGGGGAGCUCCGCAGGACAGCUAUAGUUGUCCUCAUUCUGCUGAGAACAUAGGGACUGGGGACACCACGGAGGCUGGCCAUUUGGUGACCCAGGGUUCCAGCUGUGAUCUGUCCCUGCCUCGUGGUAGCCAGAAAACAAUUGAAAAAGACCAUGAGACCUGAGAUACCCUCCCUCUUCCCGUCACUCUCCCAUAUCUGGCGGGAUUUAUGGAUUAAAAGUCUGGGUAAUAAGCACACAUGAUGGAAUCGUUGUCGGCAGGCGGUGGCUUCAUGUCAUGACAGUGGCAGAGACAGCAGUGAGCUGAGAGCUUCAGCAGGACUUGGCCCUCAACUUUGCCUGUUUCCGGGAGCACUGCCUGGCCAGUUCCAACCAGCGCGUCGUGUCCCACGUUGGGCCAGGAGGAAACUGAGGCUCACUGAAGUUACAUCCAAGCCACUGAGCUUUCAAAUCCAGAUCUGCCUGACCUGAUCUCUUCCCACCCCCAGCACUACAACUCAGUUUGCACACCUCCAGCGACAGAGAACUCACUGCCUCCCCCGCAGCACAGCCUCGUGCUGGACGGCACUGACAAUUCUAAGACGGGAACAUCACUGGAAGAAAACAUGUUCUAUAGCUAAGAUGGAUGAAACUGCAGUUUGCAUUGAUUUUG